CUACGGGCUGCACCAGUGAGGAAUAUUGCGCAAUGGGGGCAACCCUGACGCAGCGACGCCGCGUGGAUGAUGAAGGCCUUCGGGUUGUAAAAUCCUGUCAGAUGGGAAGAAAUGUAUAUUGUCUGAUAGGCAGUGUAUUUGACGGUACCAUCAAAGGAAGCACCGGCUAACUCCGUGCCAGCAGCCGCGGUAAUACGGAGGGUGCGAGCGUUGUUCGGAAUUACUGGGCGUAAAGCGCGCGUAGGCGGCUUUGUAAGUCAGAUGUGAAAGCCCACGGCUCAACCGUGGACGUGCAUUUGAAACUGCAAGGCUUGAGUACUGGAGGGGGUAGUGGAAUUCCCGGUGUAGAGGUGAAAUUCGUAGAGAUCGGGAGGAAUACCGGUGGCGAAGGCGACUGCCUGGCCAGAUACUGACGCUGAGGUGCGAAAGCGUGGGGAGCAAACAGGAUUAGAUACCCGUGUAGUC
Molecule: ribosomal RNA, 465 nt
Filed under: uncultured bacterium
Lineage: Bacteria
Description: partial 16S ribosomal RNA
Rfam family: Bacterial small subunit ribosomal RNA
Source: RNAcentral